Vigna umbellata (rice bean) is the source of this 1511-nucleotide non-coding RNA. The record is from RefSeq and is a predicted model, not a curated record. NCBI's taxonomy places the organism in Eukaryota, Viridiplantae, Streptophyta, Magnoliopsida, Fabales, Fabaceae.
UAGAAGCAAUUCCAUUUGUACCAAUCCUUUAGGUCAACUUCUGCAUAGGCAUAUUGAUGAUUCAUCCAUUAUGACCCAUACCUUUCCCUUUAUGCAAAACCAAAACCCAAACUUAACGCAACAGCUUUUGCCUUCAAAGCAACAACCUCUCUUAUCUUCUUUCUAUUCUCUUCUGUCAUUUCUCGCCUGCAUACAUUAAUCACUUUCCCUUACCCUCCCUCUGUUUUCCCCAUAAUCAUCUUCAUUACAGCACUCCCAACAAAUAAAACGACAAAGUCUCAUUAGUUGCAACAUCCCAUAACCAAAUACACCACAAUUUCUCCCUUCCCCAAACCUAACCUUAUCACAGUACAUCAAUCGUGUUUUAUUUCUCAUCUCCCUCGUUUCUAUAAAUACCAUUUUUCAUUUCAAUUAAAUCACUAUCCCAAUUUUUUCUUCUUGUUGCGUCUUUUUUUCUUCUAAUUCCCAUCAUUUUCUUUUUAUCGAAAAUGAACACCAUGAGAGGACCGGAAGAUCAGCAAUCUAGGGUUUUCUGUGAGCUGUCGGCUCUGGUCUUCAACCUCCUCCGCUCUCCGCCGCUCAUGCCGGAGUCUCCGCCCAGGCGCCCAACGGCGGGGGCUCAGAUAACGCCGGCAGGGUUCGCAUCGCUGCUUCUGGGGAUUUCGGUGGCUCUCAUGCUCUGCGGAUCGGUUACUUUUUUCAUCGGGUUUAUGUUGAUGCCGUGGGUUCUCGGAUUGAUGAUGGUUUUCUACGUCGCUGCCAUCGUUUCCGCUCUCUCCGUUCUGGGGCGUUCCAUUCUCUGUUUUGCCUCGCCGCGUAAGGAUCUUCCUGGUUCAAAUUCUGUGGGAGCUCCUGGAAGAGUGAAAUUAUGAGAAUAAGAUAGACGGUCUGUGUGUAUGACCUUAGAAAGAAUCCAAUAAAAGAAAUGUUAAAUUCUUUUUGAAUCAAGGGUUGGAUCUGCAAGAUUGGUUUUCUCUUAAAACAGUGAAGGAGUAUAAGAUACAAAAAUUACAUUGAAGCGCAGCUUAUCUCUUAGAUCGUAUCACACACAUGUUGGAUCACGAGCCUAUUUUUGCUGUUUCAGAGUGGAAACUUAUGUGAAAAGAUAAAUAAGGGAGUGGACUAGUGCGAUCGUAGUUAUUGUGCCGGCCCCCUUGCGCAGCCUGCGGAACGAAGAUCACUGAACUUCUCUGACCAGAAGCAGGAGUUUUGGAACCAGGCUUUUGUGAAAAGUACUAAACUUUGUGGAUAUGGCUUCUCUUUUUAUUACAAUCAGCCAAGUUCUGAGGAAUCAAGAAUUGAGGACUUUCUUCCCGCUAUUGUCUAUUACUGUCAAUUAUUUUAUUUGUCGUUAUUUUCACUCUUGUAAAUUUUGAAGUAGAGGCUUCUGAAAUUCAUUUCUUUUCCAUUUCCAAACGUGGUAUAUAUACACUGUAAAAUUUGAUAUGAUGACUCACGAGAAGGUUGUCUUAUUACAAUUUUUUAUACACAAAAUUGAGAAUGGCUUUAUU